RNAcentral lists this ribosomal RNA (314 nucleotides) under uncultured eukaryote. Its description in RNAcentral is "LSU rRNA". It matches the Rfam family "Bacterial large subunit ribosomal RNA", at positions 2165 to 2478 of the family's 2925-position model. The record is from RNAcentral.
GAUCUUGCGGGAUCGUUGGAGCCACUGGUGAGAUACCACUCUUGUAAUGAUAAAAUCCUAACUUUGAACCGUUAUCCGGUCAGAGAACAGUUCCAGGUGGGCAGUUUGACUGGGGCGGUCGCCUCCUAAAAGGUAACGGAGGCGUGCAAAGGUUCCCUCAGGCUGGUCGGAAAUCAGUCGUAGAGUGUAAAGGCAUAAGGAAGCUUGAUUGUGAGACCUACAAGUCGAACAAAGACGAAAGUCGGCCUUAGUGAUCCGACGGUUCCGAGUGGAAGGGCCGUCGCUCAACGGAUAAAAGUUACUCUAGGGAUAAC